This 73-nucleotide transfer RNA is filed under the name Gymnogeophagus balzanii. Its description in RNAcentral is "tRNA-Trp". It matches the Rfam family "tRNA". Rfam says of the family: Transfer RNA (tRNA) molecules are approximately 80 nucleotides in length. Their secondary structure includes four short double-helical elements and three loops (D, anti-codon, and T loops). The record is from RNAcentral. Lineage: Eukaryota; Metazoa; Chordata; Actinopteri; Cichliformes; Cichlidae.
AGGGGUUUAGGUUAAUAACCAGACCAAGAGCCUUCAAAGCCCUAAGUGGGAGUGAAGAAUCUUCCAACCCCUG